RNAcentral lists this ribosomal RNA (479 nucleotides) under uncultured bacterium. RNAcentral's name for it is "partial 16S ribosomal RNA". It matches the Rfam family "Bacterial small subunit ribosomal RNA", at positions 29 to 507 of the family's 1533-position model. The record is from RNAcentral.
AUGAACGCUGGCGGCGUGCUUAACACCUGCAAGUCGAACGGAACUACUCCAAUGAGAGUCUUCGGAAAGGAUUUGGUUUAGUUUAGUGGCGGACGGGUGAGUAACGCGUGGGUAACCUGCCCUAUACAGGGGGAUAACAGUUGGAAACGACUGUUAAUACCGCAUAAGCGCACAGGAGCGCAUGCUCCGGUGUGAAAAACUCCGGUGGUAUAGGAUGGACCCGCGUCUGAUUAGCUGGUUGGCGGGGUAACGGCCCACCAAGGCGACGAUCAGUAGCCGGCCUGAGAGGGUGAACGGCCACAUUGGGACUGAGACACGGCCCAAACUCCUACGGGAGGCAGCAGUGGGGAAUAUUGCACAAUGGGGGAAACCCUGAUGCAGCGACGCCGCGUGAGCGAAGAAGUAUCUCGGUAUGUAAAGCUCUAUCAGCAGGGAAGAAAAUGACGGUACCUGACUAAGAAGCCCCGGCUAACUACGUG